Molecule: ribosomal RNA, 425 nt
Filed under: uncultured bacterium
Lineage: Bacteria
Description: bacterial SSU rRNA
Rfam family: Bacterial small subunit ribosomal RNA
Source: RNAcentral
GGGGAAUAUUGGACAAUGGGCGAAAGCCUGAUCCAGCCAUGCCGCGUGUGUGAAGAAGGUCUUCGGAUUGUAAAGCACUUUAAGUUGGGAGGAAGGGUUGUAACCUAAUACGUUGCAACUUUGACGUUACCGACAGAAUAAGCACCGGCUAACUUCGUGCCAGCAGCCGCGGUAAUACGAAGGGUGCAAGCGUUAAUCGGAAUUACUGGGCGUAAAGCGCGCGUAGGUGGUUUGAUAAGUUGGAUGUGAAAGCCCCGGGCUCAACCUGGGAAUUGCAUCCAAAACUGUCUGACUAGAGUACGGUAGAGGGUAGUGGAAUUUCCUGUGUAGCGGUGAAAUGCGUAGAUAUAGGAAGGAACACCAGUGGCGAAGGCGACUACCUGGACUGUUACUGACACUGAGGUGCGAAAGCAUGGGGAGCAAAC